RNAcentral lists this ribosomal RNA (326 nucleotides) under uncultured Spirochaetota bacterium. RNAcentral describes it as "bacterial SSU rRNA". It matches the Rfam family "Bacterial small subunit ribosomal RNA", at positions 29 to 351 of the family's 1533-position model. Lineage: Bacteria; Pseudomonadati; Spirochaetota. The record is from RNAcentral.
AACGAACGCUGGCGGCGUGUCUUAAGCAUGCAAGUCGAGCGGCAAGGCGGGGCAACCCGCCCUAGAGCGGCGGACUGGUGAGUAACGCGUGGAUGAUCUACCUUUGGGAUGGGGAUAGCCAUUAGAAAUAGUGGGUAAUACCGAAUACGUUCCCAUGGUUGCGACCAUGGGAGGAAAGGCGCUACGGCGCCACCCAUAGAUGAGUCUGCGUCCCAUUAGCUAGUUGGUGGGGUAAUGGCCUACCAAGGCGAUGAUGGGUAGCCGGCCUGAGAGGGUGUACGGCCACAUUGGGACUGAGAUACGGCCCAAACUCCUACGGGUGGCAG